GCAGGGUGCAGUGGCAUAUGCCUGUAGUUCUAGCUACUCAGGAGGCUGAGGCAGGAGGAUCGCUUGAGUCCAAGAGUUCUGGGCUGCAGUGCGCUAUGCUGAUCGGUGUCCGCACUAAGUUCGGCAGCAAUAUGGUGACCUCCCGGGAACGGGGGACCACCAGGUUGCCUAAGGAGGGGUGAACCGGCCCAGGUUGGAAACGGAGCAGGUCAAAACCUAAUCUUCCUCUUUUGAUGAUAAAGGAAUUGUUACAGGCUUAACUGCAGAACUGGGCAAACUAUUAAAAAAAAAAAAAAAAACCUUCUCU
This 307-nucleotide signal recognition particle RNA is filed under the name Castor canadensis (American beaver). Its description in RNAcentral is "Metazoan signal recognition particle RNA (ENSCCNG00000025471.1)". It matches the Rfam family "Metazoan signal recognition particle RNA". From Rfam's summary of the family: The signal recognition particle (SRP) is a universally conserved ribonucleoprotein. It is involved in the co-translational targeting of proteins to membranes. The record is from RNAcentral. Lineage: Eukaryota; Metazoa; Chordata; Mammalia; Rodentia; Castoridae.